This 460-nucleotide ribosomal RNA is filed under the name uncultured Methylomirabilota bacterium. RNAcentral describes it as "bacterial SSU rRNA". It matches the Rfam family "Bacterial small subunit ribosomal RNA", at positions 977 to 1434 of the family's 1533-position model. The record is from RNAcentral. Lineage: Bacteria; Methylomirabilota (SeqCode).
GGGCUUGACAUCCCACGAACCUGCCUGAAAGGGCGGGGUGCCCGCAAGGGAUCGUGGAGCCAGGUGGUGCAUGGCUGUCGUCAGCUCGUGUCGUGAGAUGUUGGGUUAAGUCCCGCAACGAGCGCAACCCUCACCCCUAGUUGCCACCGGGUAAUGACGAGCACUCGACGGGAACUGCCUGCGUCAAGCUGGAGGAAGGCGGGGAUGACGUCAAAACAUCAUGCUCCUUACGCCCUGGGCUCCACACGUCUACAAUGGCCAGUACAAAGGGAUGCGAGACCCCGAGGUGGUGCUAACCCAAAAAGCUGACCUAAGAUGCAGAUUGCAGUCUGCAACUCGACUGCAUGAAGGAGGAAUCGCUAGUAAUCGCGCAUCAGCCCGGCGCGGUGAAUACGUUCCCGGGCCUUUGUACACACCGCCCGUCACACCACGAAAGCUUACUGUACUCGAAGUCGCUGAG